GACGAACGCUGGCGGCGCGCUUAACACAUGCAAGUCGAACGGAAAGGCCUGCUUUCCCUUGUGGAUUGCGGGUACUCGAGUGGCGAACGGGUGAGUAACACGUGAGUGAUCUGCCCCCAACUUGGGUAUAAGCCUGGGAAACUGGGUCUAAUUCCCGAUAGGACUGCAGGGUGGUGCCUGUGGUGGAAAACGAUUUUCUAGUGGUUGGGGAUGAGCUCGCGGCCUAUCAGCUUGUUGGUGGGGUAAUGGCCUACCAAGGCGGCGACGGGUAGCCGGCCUGGGAGAGUGGACGUGCGCGGUGGGACUGAGAUACGGCCCAGACGCCUACGGGAGGCAGCAGUGGGGAGUAAUGCACGAGGGGCGGAAGACUGAUGGAGCGACGCCGCGUGGGGGAUGACGGCCGUGGGGUUGUAGACUCCUUUCGGCCGCGAGGAAGCCACCUGGUUGGAAGGGUGGUGACGGUAGUGGUAGAAGAAGCACCGGCUAACUACGUG
This 494-nucleotide ribosomal RNA is filed under the name uncultured bacterium. RNAcentral's name for it is "partial 16S ribosomal RNA". It matches the Rfam family "Bacterial small subunit ribosomal RNA", at positions 28 to 507 of the family's 1533-position model. The record is from RNAcentral.